UACGUAGGGUGCAAGCGUUGUCCGGAAUUACUGGGCGUAAAGGGCUCGUAGGCGGCCAACUAAGUCGGAUGUGAAAUCCCCAGGCUCAACCUGGGAACUGCAUCCGAUACUGGAUGGCUUGAAUUCGGGAGAGGGAUGCAGAAUUCCAGGUGUAGCGGUGAAAUGCGUAGAUAUCGGGAAGAACACCCGUGGCGAAGGCGGUUCUCUGGGACGGUACUGACGCUGAGACGCGAAAGCGUGGGGAGCGAACAGG
RNAcentral lists this ribosomal RNA (253 nucleotides) under uncultured bacterium. RNAcentral's name for it is "partial 16S ribosomal RNA". It matches the Rfam family "Bacterial small subunit ribosomal RNA", at positions 524 to 776 of the family's 1533-position model. The record is from RNAcentral.